This 23-nucleotide non-coding RNA is filed under the name Cricetulus griseus (Chinese hamster). The record is from RNAcentral. Lineage: Eukaryota; Metazoa; Chordata; Mammalia; Rodentia; Cricetidae.
GAGAAUCACUGAGAGCUGCUACC